UCCAUCUGCCGAGGGUGUGGCCCUUAAAAAAAAAAAAGAAAAAAAAAUUUGCAUGUUAAGAAUGAGAUGGGGGAGAAAAUUAAUAGUUCAUAUGGUCAUGGGUGUUUCUUGCUUAAAUCUUUUGUAAGAUGCCUUUUGGGCAAAACUUGGUCCUUAAUGUUAAAAAUCAUUAUUAUUCUCAUUGCAUGUCCAUGACAUGAUUUUGGAUUAUGACAAAGCAGGUAAAAGUAAAGAAGAAGCAGGCAGCAAAUGCUGCACCUGGGUGAAGGCCAGGAGCAAGUUCUUUUGCCUGACUGCCCUCUUUUGUUUUCUUAUAAACGUUUUUUCUUUAUCCUUUGAUGGCUGGGUCAGAGACUUUCUCAGGUGUGACCCUUCAGUUACUGUACCCGAGGGUCCUGUAUCCAACCACCUGCGGAUCUCAUCUUCCGAAAGAAUGACUGUUUAGGACUUUCUCCUAAAGGACUUUUCUUCUUUUCACCUAAAGGACUUUCUCUGUGCUAGUGUUCUAUUAAGCAGAAAUUUGAAGCACCAAAACAGACAUUAUAGUAAUUAACUAGAUCACCUAUUAUUUAAUAUCGUAGUCAUAUCUCAUCUUCACCAAGUGAGUACUUGUUUAGAUUUACAACAUAUUUGUAAAUUUCAUUGCUUACAGUUAUUGCUACUAUUUGUCUAUUCUGUAUGUAGUAUUUUUUUUUUCUGCGAGAGAUUUUAAAUGGUGAAUUUUCAUUAUUUGUCUAAAAAUGAAAGCAAAGCUUAUUUUAGGAUUUUAGGUCGUGCAUUAUUUCCCCUCAGCACUUUAAAGAUAUUUUUCCAUUGUCUUCUGAAAUUGUAGCUGAGAAAUGUCUUAAUUGUCAGCUGGUGCUUAAAAAUCUCCUUCAAACGUAAUGCCUGAAAACUCAAAUGGUUUUACUCUCUCUCAGGUUGCCUGGUAUUAGUUGGGUCGUUUUUCCUUUGGUGUUGGCUGGGGCUACAGUGACUUGGGAACUCAGUUCAGCCAGCACAUCAAAGGGCUGGCAGUUGAUACUGGCUGUUCUCGUUCCCGCGUGCAAUUAACCUGGGGCUGUUAAUUGUUGCCCUUCAGGUCUCUGUGUGGCUUGGGCUUCUCCUUGCUUGGUGGCUGAAUUUUAUUUUUCCUUUUUUUUUUUUUGGCCACCUCACAGCAUAUGGAAUUCCCAGGGCAAGAAUCAGAUCCAAGCCUCAGUUUCAACUGUGGCAGUGUUGGAUCCUUUGACCCACUGUGCCAGGCAGGGGUGAAGGAUGGUGUCCCAAAAAAAGUUUUGCAGGAAGAAAAAUGUGUGUAAUUUGCCCAUCCCUUAAAGGCCUGGUCUCAGAAGUCUCAGAUGCCGUUUCCUCUGCAUCCUUUUGGCUGAGAGGGCCAACCCUAGGGAAGUGGCAGCUCUUGAUGUAAGAAGCAGCUUGUGCCCGCGGGGAGGGGGAAAUUUGGGGGAGCCUGUUAACCUAUUGUGAUUUCUCUGUUAUGUGGGUUAUCAGGAUAUCUUGAUUUUCUUUGAUUGCUCUUAAGAUUUUAUUUUUGUCUUUGAUAUUCUGUAGUUUCACUGUGAAAUCUUGAGAUGUAGACUUGUUUUUAAUGUAUCUGGCCUGGGAUGCAUGUCCAUCUUCAAUCAGUUUUGGAAAAUUUCUCUUUUUCUCUUUCAGUACUGCUCCUUUCUUUUCUUUCUGUUCUCUUCUUUCUUCUGGAACUCUUACAUGAAGUUUGUUGGAUGGUUCCAUGUAAUUGUUUCUUAUGUGCUAGGGGGUGAAUUUUUUUUUUUUUUUAUGCUUUUUAGGGCCAUGCAUGCAACAUAUGUUUUUGUGAGCCACACGGGAAGUCCCAUGCAUGCAACAUAUGGAAGUUCCCAGGCUAAGAGUUGAAUCAGAGCUGCAGCUGCUGGCCACAGCCACAGCAACAUGGGAUCUGAGCCACGUCUGUGACCUACACCAUAGCUCACUGCAACACUGGAUCCUUGACCCACUGAGUGAGACCAGGGAUCAAACCUGAAACCUCAUGGAUACUAGUCGGAUUCAUUUCUGCUGAGCCACAAUAGAAACUCCAUAGAGGGUGAUAUUAACUCAUCCAUGACUGACUGAGGCCUGUAGGCUGUCUGUUCAGAAAAGGACUGAGCCUCUUGCAGAGCUUUGCCCAAACUGGUGAUGGUCCAUUCGGGCAGACAAUCCUUGUCAACCACUUGGAGCCCAGCCCCCUAAUUAUGCCAUAGAUGGGUCUGUUGAUUUCCAAGGCAUAUGCACUGAUGUGGCAAAUUUUGCCACUGGAUUGCCCCAUCUCAACAGCUGCCCUGACAAGACUUGGGAUUUUACUUCCAGAUCAUGCCAGGUGGGAGAGUUACUAGCCAUGGGCAUCAGGCCAGCAGGUUAGGAGAGACAGAGUUGUGACACGCUAUAUGGAAGAUUCUACACAUCAUGUUGUGACGAUGUCCCUGCCUCUGAUCACACAGGCAAGGUGCCAGCACUUUCCUACUCAUGCAGCUCAAAAGCCUCACAGUGCAAACAUUGGGAUCCCAUGCUGAACCUCUGACAUCCCCUCCUUGCCAGAUUGCUGUGCAUUGCCCUAGAGUGUCAUGGGUAGCAGGGUACAUGAGCACCUGCCACUGAUGCUGUCAUCAUGUGCCUUCUCUGAUGAAAGUUGCCCCAGUUGGCUGGUGUGAGUGCUGCUUGGCCAUCUGCCCUUACCUUUUUCUCUUCUCUUUAUGUCUGUCUGUCGCAUGCAGAGUGCUUUUUAUUAGACUCUGUUCACUAAAAGCUUCUCACUGGUAUUUAUUCUGCCUUUUAAUCUACUCCUUAACUUGUUUACUAUUUUAAGUGAUUUUUACUCUUUCUUUAUAGUUGGUUUACAGUGUUCUGUAAAUUUCUACUGUAUAGCAAAGUGAUGCAGUCACACAUAUAUAUACAUUCUUUUUCUCACAUUAUCAACUUGUUUAUUUUAUUUUUUUCGUCUUUUGUCUUUUUUAGGGCCAUGCCCGCAGCAUAUGGAGGUUCCCAGGCUAGGGGUCAAAUCGGAGCUGCAGCUGCCAGCCUACACUAGAGCCACAGCAACGCCAGAUCUGAGCUGCAUCUGCGACCUACACCACAGCUCAUGGCAACGCCGGAUCCUUAACCCACUGGGCAAGGCCACUGAUCAAACCCACAACCUCAUGGUUCCUAGUCGGAUUCGUUUAAGCUGCACCAUGACGGGAACUUCUCAACUUGUUUAUUUUUAAUGAUUGUACUUUUUCAUUUGAGAAUUUAUGUGUGGUUAUUUUUUUUUAAUUCAAAUUCUGCUAGUCUUUUUUUUUUGUUGUUGUUGGGUUUUUUUUGUGUUUUUUUUUUUUGUUUUUUUUUUUUACAAAUUUUAACUAAUUCAGUUUAUAUAGAGGCAUUUGGUGAUGACGAUCUUCCAUAAAGUAUGAUUUACUUAAAUUCAACUUAAAAAUCCAUUUAUAUUAUGAAAUGCAAAAUAGUGUGUUUGAACAUAUAAACAUAUUUUAACUAAUGAAUGGAUACAGAAACAUCUAUUUAGACCCAAAUAUAUGACAAAUUAUAUUGUAAGUCUAGUGAUAUAUAUUGAAAUAUCGGAAUUUCAGUGUAUAUCAUUCAUAAAAUCAGUCACAGCUUUCCUGGAAAACAAACUAAUUCUAAAUUUGUGACUACCGCAAAAAUUCUAUUUACUAGCCAACAUUUAUUUUAUCAAAAUAUUUUAAAAUUAUUUUGGUAAUUUUCACAAUAUAUUAGAAAAUAGGGAGAAUUAAUUAAAGGAGUUUUGUAUAAAUGCUUUUCAUGUUUUUGAAGGCUUGUUCAAAAUGGGACUCUCAUUUUAUUUAUUUUUUUAUUGUUUUGCCUUUUAGGGCCACACCUGCUGCACAUGGAGGUUCCCAGACUAGGGGUCAAAUCGGAGCUUCAGCUGCCAGCCUAGUUCACAGCCACAGCAAUGUAGGAUCUGAGCCCCAUCUGCAACCUACACCACAGCUCAUGACAACACCAGAUCCUUAACCCACUGAGCAAGGCCAGGCAUCAAACCCACAUCCUCAUGGAUCCUAGUCGGGUUCAUUAACCGCUGAGCCAUGACAGGAAUUCUGGGACUCUCAUUUUAAAAGUUAACCUAGAUGUCCAUUGACAGGAGGGUGGAUAAAGAAACUAUGGCACAUACACAAUGGAACAUCACUCAACCAUAAAAAAGAACAAAACAAUGCCAUCUGCAGCAACAUGAAUGGACCCAGAGACUACCAUACUACAUCAACUAAGUCAGACAAAGACAAAUAUGGUCUCACUUACAUGUGGAAUCCCCUCCCACCCCAAAAAAUGACAUAAGCAUACUUAAUUACAAAACAGAAACAGAGUCACAGACUUCAAAAACAAACUUAUGGUUAUCAAAGCGGGGAAUGAGGGGCAGGAAUGGAAUGGGGUUUGGGAUUGACAGAUGCACACUUUUGUGUAUGGAAUGGAUAGUCAACAGAGACUUGCUGGAUAGCACAGGGAAAUCUACUCAGUGUUCUUUGAUAAUCUAUAUGGGAAUGAUAUGUGUAUACAUAUGGCUGAAUCAUUUUGCUGUACAGCAGACACAACACUGUAAAUCAGCAACACUGAUUUAUACAGCACUAAAUCAAUGAUACUUCAAUAACUUUUUUAAAAGUUUAUUUUUUUCUCAUUAUAAAAAUAAUUUAUGCUGGUAUUAUGGAAAAA
RNAcentral lists this long non-coding RNA (4674 nucleotides) under Sus scrofa (pig). Its description in RNAcentral is "lncRNA (ENSSSCG00025070622.1)". Lineage: Eukaryota; Metazoa; Chordata; Mammalia; Artiodactyla; Suidae. The record is from RNAcentral.